Molecule: ribosomal RNA, 492 nt
Filed under: uncultured bacterium
Lineage: Bacteria
Description: partial 16S ribosomal RNA
Rfam family: Bacterial small subunit ribosomal RNA
Source: RNAcentral
AGUGAACGCCGGCGGUAGGCCUAACACAUGCAAGUCGAACGGCAGCACAGUAAGAGCUUGCUCUUACGGGUGGCGAGUGGCGGACGGGUGAGGAAUACAUCGGAAUCUACUUUUUCGUGGGGGGUAACGUAGGGAAACUUACGCUAAUACCGCAUACGACCUACGGGUGAAAGCAGGGGAUCUUCGGACCUUGCGCGAUUGAAUGAGCCGAUGUCGGAUUAGCUAGUUGGCGGGGUAAAGGCCCACCAAGGCGACGAUCCGUAGCUGGUCUGAGAGGAUGAUCAGCCACACUGGAACUGAGACACGGUCCAGACUCCUACGGGAGGCAGCAGUGGGGAAUAUUGGACAAUGGGCGCAAGCCUGAUCCAGCCAUACCGCGUGGGUGAAGAAGGCCUUCGGGUUGUAAAGCCCUUUUGUUGGGAAAGAAAAGCAGCAGGUUAAUACCCCGCUGUUCUGACGGUACCCAAAGAAUAAGCACCGGCUAACUUCGUG